UCGAAGGUGGAAGGGGCCACCCGCGGUCCGCCCGUAUGUGCAUUUGUGUUCAGUGCCGCGCCCCGCGACGAAUACGAUGAGCGCUCGUAAUGCGCGAUCCGCGCUCUCGCGACAUUCCCAGCUGCACAAAUGGCACUCUCUGUAAAAUCGUACACAACGGCACCCGUUCUCCGUUGAAAUUGCGACUUUCUUCCCUAUUGUUGUUUUGGAACCAGCGCCCCUGGCUGACCAGUAACUGACGAAAAUACGUAGCUGGCUGACCGAACAGAUUUCGCUGUUGAUGACUCUUCCUGGUGUUAGUGCGUGGCCUGUGGAAUUGGAUGAAUAACAUACAGGAGACAAAAAAAUCUCUGUCUUAGUAGAUGUAGAACCAGUGGAAGGUUAAAAGUGCUAAGCCAGUCUUGAAUAACAGAAAAUAUAAAAUUGGUCAGAUUGAAAGCUUUCACCCAGUAUUUCCUUCAUAAUGGCAUCUGUUCACUGUAGUGAAGUUUGUACUGCACACGUACAGAGCAUUGCGUGUGAGUUUCCACGCAUCAUGUAACCCGUCGUUACUUUGUGCUCGAGUGUUCUGGGAUUACCGGCCUUGCUAUACAAUAAGUGAGUCUAAAGUUCUCGCCACAGAUUAUAACCCGAAUUCUCUCACUUUUUUUUUUCAAGUGCAGUGAUCAUCAGAUCAGACAGUGAUUGUUGUGGUCAUCAGUGCGUGUCGAAGUUUCGCGAAGUAAGGCGCCAGCGAUGUUACACAGCCAGGAGUCGGCGUGCAGCUCACGAUAAAGAAUGUCUCUGGUGCCACAGCGUACACCGCCAUCUGGCGGCGGCGCGACGGAGUCGGCGCCUACCAGCCGGGAGUGGAAGCAGAGGUUCAGCUUCCGAGCGUCCGGCAGGAGGGCAACCAUAGACGAGGUAAGCGCCAGAAAUUGCAGCAGCUUCUGUGAGCGGUCCCAAUACAAGUGAGUGAUAACACUUUACUGAAUGCUUACUUCUAUAUGAGCUUAGAGUUGAGCAUGUGUGCAAAUUUACUUUCCUUACACGACUUGUUCGGCGAAGGAGUGAUUUUCGUCCUCAUUGCUGGAAUUAGAAAGAACUGUACUGAGUACAUUACAUUGGAUUCCUAUUUUCUUGCAUAAAAACUUUUAACAUUCGCUAAUGACGGCCUCAUUCUUCCACAGACGAGAAGGGGCGAUGAG
Long non-coding RNA from Schistocerca serialis cubense, 1187 nucleotides. RefSeq lists it as uncharacterized. The transcript has 3 exons. NCBI's taxonomy places the organism in Eukaryota, Metazoa, Arthropoda, Insecta, Orthoptera, Acrididae. The record is from RefSeq and is a predicted model, not a curated record.